Molecule: ribosomal RNA, 505 nt
Filed under: Semisulcospira extensa
Lineage: Eukaryota; Metazoa; Mollusca; Gastropoda; Semisulcospiridae
Description: partial 16S ribosomal RNA
Rfam family: Bacterial large subunit ribosomal RNA
Source: RNAcentral
GGCUCUUUGCCUAUAUAAGUAUAAAGAGUCGAGCCUGCCCAGUGAGUUUUUUAACGGCCGCGGUACUCUGACCGUGCAAAGGUAGCAUAAUCAUUUGCCUUAUAAUUGAAGGCUAGUAUGAAUGGUUUGACGAGAGCAGCACUGUCUCCUUUUUAUUUUCAAGAACUUAACUUUUAGGUGAAGAGGCCUAAAUUUUAUUGAAGGACAAGAAGACCCUGUCGAGCUUAAAAGACGUUAUAGAGGCUUAAUAUACUUUUAAAUAAAUUUUCUGUUAAGCUUUUUAGUUGGGGCGACUAAGGAACAAAAAAAGCUUCUUUCUAAUAAUAAACAAUCACGUUUAGAUCCGAUAGUAGGCGAUUAAAGGAAUUAGUUACCGCAGGGAUAACAGCAUAAUCUCUCUUGAGAGACCUAAUCGAAAGAGGGGGUUGUGACCUCGAUGUUGGACUAGAAUAUCCUAAAGAUGCAGAAGUCUUCGAGGGUUGGUCUGUUCGACCAUUAAAAUUCU